This 464-nucleotide ribosomal RNA is filed under the name uncultured fungus. RNAcentral describes it as "eukaryotic LSU rRNA". The stretch from base 130 to 282 matches the Rfam family "5.8S ribosomal RNA". Lineage: Eukaryota; Fungi. The record is from RNAcentral.
AAUAUCGAACCUGGCCCCCUGGCCACGUCUACCUUGCAAACCCGUGGAAGCGAACCGUGCUUCGGCGCCUCGGCGUCGAGUUUAUGCUGCAGUUGGUAGUUUGCGUCUGAAUCAAACCGAAGAACAUAAAACUUUCAACAGAGGAUCUCUUGGCUCUUGUAUCGAUGAAGAACGCAGCAAAGCGCGAAAUGUAGUGAACAUAGCAGCACAAUUGUGAAUCAUCGAAUCUUUGAACGCACAUUGCGCCUCCUGUUACAGGGAGGCAUGCCUGUCUGAGCGUCAUUUAAACCCAUGCCAUUGGCGAGCUUCGUCAUCGGCGUGUUGGGCCCUCGUCGACCAGACGUCGGCGUGGCCUCGAAUCAAUCGGUCAGGUUGAGCGGACGAGAUCCCCUGGGACAUGGACCGUUCAUCCGACCCUAAAGACUUUGAAAUCUUGACCUCAGAUCAGGUAGGGACACCGCCUG